GAUGAACGCUGGCGGCGUGCCUAAUACAUGCAAGUCGAGCGAACGGACGAGAAGCUUGCUUCUCUGAUGUUAGCGGCGGACGGGUGAGUAACACGUGGAUAACCUACCUAUAAGACUGGGAUAACUUCGGGAAACCGGAGCUAAUACCGGAUAAUAUUUUGAACCGCAUGGUUCAAAAGUGAAAGACGGUCUUGCUGUCACUUAUAGAUGGAUCCGCGCUGCAUUAGCUAGUUGGUAAGGUAACGGCUUACCAAGGCAACGAUGCAUAGCCGACCUGAGAGGGUGAUCGGCCACACUGGAACUGAGACACGGUCCAGACUCCUACGGGAGGCAGCAGUAGGGAAUCUUCCGCAAUGGGCGAAAGCCUGACGGAGCAACGCCGCGUGAGUGAUGAAGGUCUUCGGAUCGUAAAACUCUGUUAUUAGGGAAGAACAUAUGUGAAAGUAACUGUGCACAUCUUGACGGUACCAAAUCAGAAAGCCACGGCUAACUACGUG
This 497-nucleotide ribosomal RNA is filed under the name uncultured bacterium. RNAcentral's name for it is "partial 16S ribosomal RNA". It matches the Rfam family "Bacterial small subunit ribosomal RNA", at positions 28 to 507 of the family's 1533-position model. The record is from RNAcentral.